UCUCCGUAGGUGAACCUGCGGAGGGAUCAUUACAGAGUUCAUGCCCUAACGGGUAGAUCUCCCACCCUAUGUUAUCAUCACUUUGUUGCUUUGGCGGGCCGUCAGGCCUCGGCUUGGCUACCGGCUCUCGCUGGUAAGCGCCCGCCAGAGAACCCCAAACCCUGAAUAUCAGUGUCGUCUGAGUACUAUAUAAUAGUUAAAACUUUCAACAACGGAUCUCUUGGUUCAG
RNAcentral lists this unclassified non-coding RNA (229 nucleotides) under plant metagenome. Its description in RNAcentral is "partial contains small subunit ribosomal RNA, internal transcribed spacer 1, and 5.8S ribosomal RNA". The record is from RNAcentral.